CACAGUGGAGCAACCUAAAAAGGAAAAAGAGAUAUGUAUUGGAUCUGUAGGUUAAAAUGUCAACACUACUAUGCCAGUUGGUGAAAUAUUGAAACAGCCUGUACUUGUUGGCAAAGGGUUGUUGCCCUGGCCCCUGCUGUAUCAGCGCUGUUUCUGGCCUGGUCCCCUUCCCAAGAGCCACCUUCCAUGGCAAAGUUUCAUAGACUAAGUUGUUUUGGGUACAUCAUGAUUGUGUAGCAUUCAUUCUUCUUUAAAGGUGAUUUUUAAAACAGCUCAAGAAUUAAUCUACAUGAAACACUCUAUUUUAGCCAAAAUGAUACACAGUAUGGAUAUGAAGAAAUGCUGAACACUUACAGUAACUCUGUGACCAAUAUGGAGGAAAGAUCAAGUGUUAUCUAGAGAGGUCCUCUAACAGCCAUGCUAUCUCAGAGGUAGCACACAAAAUACUCUGAAUGCCUGGGGAUCUGCUUAUUCUAGAAGAACUCAUAACCUCACAUUUUUUGACUACCUUCUACGUGCAUGGCUGAAAAGUCUAAACCCAUUCUACUACUUUUUAGCAGACUAAAUAAAUAAUAAAUGCUACCCAUCCAACUCCCCUGGGAGUGGAAACAAACUCAGUGAAUGAGCUCUAUUACAGUGAGAUAGAAGUCAGGGGAGGGUUGCUAGGGGAAGGAAUGCAAUCUAAAUUUAUGGAUAAAGAACAAUUCUUAAAUCUUUCACCUCUUUUUUGAACAAUAGGAACUCUAGACACUGGGUAAUUCAUAGUGGAAAUAAAAGUGUGGACAAAAAUAGUUCUGAAGAAUUACUCUGAACACAGUAAGAAUCUAUGCAUUUGACCCAGGAGAGUUAAAAUGUUAACAUGGAUUCAGCGGUCUCCCCUCCCAUUGUUGCAGCCCUCCAGUAGUCCU
RNAcentral lists this long non-coding RNA (908 nucleotides) under Homo sapiens (human). RNAcentral's name for it is "HSALNT0071415". The record is from RNAcentral. Lineage: Eukaryota; Metazoa; Chordata; Mammalia; Primates; Hominidae.